This 376-nucleotide ribosomal RNA is filed under the name uncultured eukaryote. RNAcentral describes it as "partial 18S ribosomal RNA". It matches the Rfam family "Eukaryotic small subunit ribosomal RNA", at positions 592 to 975 of the family's 1831-position model. The record is from RNAcentral.
CAAUAGCGUAUAUUAAAGUUGUUGCAGUUAAAAAGCUCGUAGUUGGAUUUUGGGAUAAGCUAGUUGGUCCGCCGCAAGGUGAGAACUGAUGGGCAUAUCCUUCCUCUCGAAGACGCUGCGUAUGGUUUACUCCGUGUGUGGUGGGUUCGGGACUUUUACUGUGAAAAAAUUAGAGUGUUCAAAGCAGGCUAUCGCUUGAAUAUUUCAGCAUGGAAUAAUGGAAUAGGACAUUGGUUCUAUUUUGUUGGUUUCUAGGACCGAAGUAAUGAUUAAUAGGGAUAGUUGGGGGCAUUAGUAUUUAAUUGUCAGAGGUGAAAUUCUUGGAUUUAUGAAAGACUAACUUCUGCGAAAGCAUUUGCCAAGGAUGUUUUCAUUA